GUGGCUGGUGUCGUUCACGAUCUAGGCACGUUUAGGUCCCCGCAGCGAACUAGUUCCUAAGUUGACUAGUCAAUUAGGUGAUAGUUCGUCCGGAUGACGUACCUCCGUGAAUCCGAUCUGAGAAAUUCAAGUUUCUGCAUCCUUCUAUGUUUGAUAAGGUCAUUUUGAACGGUCGGAUUGAACGUGGCUGGUGUCGUUCACGAUCUAGGCACGUUUAGGUCCC
This 223-nucleotide long non-coding RNA is filed under the name Medicago truncatula (barrel medic). RNAcentral's name for it is "lncRNA gene10062". The record is from RNAcentral. Lineage: Eukaryota; Viridiplantae; Streptophyta; Magnoliopsida; Fabales; Fabaceae.